CACGAACGCUGGCGGCGUGCUUAACACAUGCAAGUCGAACGGAAAGGCCCUGCUUUUGUGGGGUGCUCGAGUGGCGAACGGGUGAGUAACACGUGAGUAACCUGCCCUUGACUUUGGGAUAACUUCAGGAAACUGGGGCUCAUACCGGAUAGGAGCUCCUGCUGCAUGGUGGGGGUAGGAAAGUUUCGGCGGUUGGGGAUGGACUCGCGGCUUAUCAGCUUGUUGGUGGGGUAGUGGCUUACCAAGGCUUUGACGGGUAGCCGGCCUGAGAGGGUGACCGGCCACAUUGGGACUGAGGUACGGCCCAGACUCCUACGGGAGGCAGCAGUGGGGAAUAUGGCACAAUGGGCGGAAGCCUGAUGCAGCAACGCCGCGUGCGGGAUGACGGCCUUCGGGUUGUAAACCGCUUUCGCCUGUGACGAAGCGUGAGUGACGGUAAUGGGUAAAGAAGCACCGGCUAACUACGUG
RNAcentral lists this ribosomal RNA (468 nucleotides) under uncultured bacterium. RNAcentral describes it as "partial 16S ribosomal RNA". It matches the Rfam family "Bacterial small subunit ribosomal RNA", at positions 29 to 507 of the family's 1533-position model. The record is from RNAcentral.